AGCAGUGUGGUUUAGUGGAUAGAACAAGAGACUGGGAGUUAGAAGAACCUGGGUUCUAACCCCAGCUUUGCCA
RNAcentral lists this transfer RNA (73 nucleotides) under Ornithorhynchus anatinus (platypus). It matches the Rfam family "tRNA". From Rfam's summary of the family: Transfer RNA (tRNA) molecules are approximately 80 nucleotides in length. Their secondary structure includes four short double-helical elements and three loops (D, anti-codon, and T loops). The record is from Rfam by way of RNAcentral. Lineage: Eukaryota; Metazoa; Chordata; Mammalia; Monotremata; Ornithorhynchidae.